AGAGUUUGAUCCUGGCUCAAGAUGAACUCUUUCGAUAGGCCUAACACACGCAAGUCGAGGGGCAUCACAUGAGGUAGCAAUACCGAUGGUGGCGGCCGGCGCACGGGUGAGUAACACGUAUGCAACCUGCCUUCAACAAGGGGAUAACUCGUUGAAAGACGGACUAAUACCCUAUAACACAGGGCUCCCGCAUGGGAAUAUUUGUUAAAGAUUUAUCGGUUGAAGAUGGGCAUGCGUUCCAUUAGUUAGGUGGGGGGGUAACGGCCCACCAAGGCAACGAUGGAUAGGGGAACUGAGAGGUUUAUCCCCCACACUGGUACUGAGACACGGACCACACUCCUACGGGAGGCAGCAGUGAGGAAUAUUGGUCAAUGGACGCAAGUCUGAACCAGCCACGUCGCGUGAAGGAAGACGGCCCUACGGGUUGUAAACUUCUUUUGUAAGGGAAUAAAGUGAGUCACGUGUGGCUUUUUGCAUGUACCUUACGAAUAAGGAUCGGCUAACUCCGUGCCAGCAGCCGCGGUAAUACGGAGGAUCCGAGCGUUAUCCGGAUUUAUUGGGUUUAAAGGGUGCUCAGGCGGGCCAUUAAGUCGGCGGUGAAAUUUUGCGGCUCAACCGUAAAGUGCCUUCGAUACUGGUGGUCUUGAGUGUGGAUGAGGUAGGCGGAAUUUGUGGUGUAGCGGUGAAAUGCAUAGAUAUCACGAGGAACUCCGAUUGCUAAGGCAGCUUACUAAGCCAUAACUGACGCUCAAGCACGAAGGCGUGGGGAUCAAACGGGAUUAGAUACCCUGGUAGUCCACGCAGUAAACGAUGAUUACUGGCUGUUUGCGAUAUAUUGUAAGCGGCUGAGCGAAAGCGUAAAGUAAUCCACCUGGGGAGUACGUUCGCAAGAAUGAAACUCAAAGGAAUUGACGGGGGCCCGCACAAGCGGAGGAACAUGUGGUUUAAUUCGAUGAUACGCGAGGAACCUUACCCGGGCUUGAAAUGCAGAUGACAGGCGG
Molecule: ribosomal RNA, 1001 nt
Filed under: uncultured bacterium
Lineage: Bacteria
Description: bacterial SSU rRNA
Rfam family: Bacterial small subunit ribosomal RNA
Source: RNAcentral